GAGGCGGCUGCCGGGACGCCUAGUCGGAGCCCGCAACGUUCACCGCCCGUGCUCGUCCCUCGUGCAGGCCGGGCCGGGCGGAGGCUCCAUGUUGGGAAGCGGCGCCGAUCGCCCUCUUUAGCGGGAACCGGGGCGCCGCGGGCUGAGCCGGCGGGGGCCGGGCCGGAGCGAAGAUGGAGGCCCCGCUGCGGCCUGGCGCCGACAUCCUGAGGCGGAAUCCGCAGCAGGACUACGAGCUCGUCCAGAGGGUCGGCAGCGGCACGUACGGGGACGUCUACAAGGCCAGAAAUGUACACACAGGAGAAUUAGCUGCAGUAAAAAUUAUCAAGUUGGAGCCUGGAGAUGAUUUUACUCUAAUUCAACAAGAAAUAUUUAUGGUUAAAGAAUGUAAGCACUGCAACAUUGUUGCCUAUUUUGGGAGCUAUCUAAGUCGAGAAAAAUUAUGGAUUUGUAUGGAAUACUGUGGUGGAGGAUCACUUCAAGAUAUUUACCAUGUUACUGGACCAUUGUCAGAAUUGCAGAUAGCCUAUGUAUGCAGAGAAACUUUACAGGGACUUGCUUAUUUGCAUACUAAAGGCAAAAUGCAUAGAGAUAUCAAAGGUGCAAAUAUUUUAUUGACAGACCAUGGUGAUGUAAAAUUAGCUGAUUUUGGUGUAGCUGCAAAAAUAACCGCUACUAUUGCAAAGAGAAAAUCUUUCAUUGGUACUCCUUAUUGGAUGGCCCCAGAAGUGGCAGCAGUGGAGAAGAAUGGCGGCUACAACCAGCUCUGUGAUAUCUGGGCAGUAGGAAUAACAGCCAUUGAACUUGGAGAGCUUCAGCCACCUAUGUUUGAUCUUCAUCCAAUGAGGGCUCUCUUCUUAAUGUCAAAAAGUAAUUUUCAGCCUCCAAAAUUAAAGGACAAAACAAAAUGGUCAUCAACAUUCCAUAAUUUUGUCAAAAUAGCACUAACUAAAAACCCAAGAAAAAGACCAACUGCUGAAAGACUUCUGACUCAUACUUUUGUUGGACAGCCUGGCCUCUCUAGGGCCCUCGCAGUUGAACUGUUGGACAAAGUAAACAAUCCAGACAACCACAUACAUUACGCUGAAGGAGAUGACGAUGAUUUUGAGCCCCAUGCCAUCAUUCGCCAUACCAUCAGAUCUACAAACAGGAAUGCCAGAGCUGAGCGGACGGCUUCAGAAAUAAAUUUUGACAAAUUACAGUUUGAACCUCCUCUGAGAAAAGAAACAGAAGCCCGGGAUGAAAUGGGAAUGUCAUCAGACCCAAACUUUUUAUUACGGUGGAAUCCUUUUGUUGAUGGUGCAAAUACUAGCAAAUCAACCUCAAAACGUGCAAUACCACCUCCCCUGCCUCCUAAGCCAAGGAUAAAUAGUUAUUCUGAAGACAGCUUCCCAGAUGAAGAAAAAUCAUCAACAGUGAAACGUUGCCCUGAUUCAGAUAACAGAGCUCCCCAACUUCUGAGAAGACAGAGUAGCCCAAGUUGUGGUCUUGUAGCUGAGACUUCCUCUAUGGGAAAUGGUGAUGGUAUCUCAAAACUAAUUAAUGAAAAUACAGAAGGAUCAGCACAGGCACCACAGUUGCCACGGAAAAAGGACAAGAGAGACUUCCCUAAACCAGCCAUCAAUGGUCUUCCACCCACCCCAAAAGUCCUGAUGGGAGCAUGUUUUUCAAAAGUUUUCGAUGGCUGCCCCUUGAAGAUCAAUUGUGCAACUUCUUGGAUACAUCCUGAUACAAAAGAUCAGUACAUUAUUUUUGGAACUGAAGAUGGUAUUUACACAUUGAACCUCAAUGAACUACAUGAGGCAACUAUGGAACAGUUGUUUCCACGGAAGUGUACUUGGCUAUAUGUUAUCAAUAAUACUUUAAUGUCAUUAUCAGAAGGAAAAACUUUUCAACUCUACUCUCAUAAUCUUAUUGCUUUGUUUGAACAAGCCAAAAAACCAGGAUUAGCUGCCCAUAUUCAAACUCAUAGGUUUCCAGACCGCAUACUGCCAAGAAAGUUUGCUUUGACAACAAAGAUUCCUGAUACAAAAGGGUGCCACAAAUGUUGCAUAGUCAGAAACCCUUACACGGGACAUAAAUACCUCUGUGGAGUUUUACAGUCUGGAAUUGUUUUACUUCAGUGGUAUGAGCCAAUGCAGAAAUUCAUGUUGAUAAAGCACUUUGAUUUUCCUUUACCAACACCUUUGAACGUUUUUGAAAUGCUGGUGAUACCAGAACAAGAAUACCCUAUGGUGUGUGUAGCUAUUAGUAAAGGCACACUGAAUCAAAUCAAGUAGUUCAGUUUGAGACAAUCAAUUUGAAUUCUGCAUCUUCAUGGUUUACAGAAAUUGGUGCAGGCAGCCAACAGUUAGAUUCCAUUUAUGUGACACAAUUGGAGAGAGAUAUUGUUUUAGUGUGUUUAGACAAAUUUGUAAAAAUUGUAAAUCUACAAGGAAAACUAAAAUCAAGUAAGAAACUGGCCUCUGAGCUAAGUUUUGAUUUUCGCAUUGAAUCUGUAGUCUGCCUUCAAGACAGUGUGCUUGCUUUCUGGAAACACGGAAUGCAGGGUAAAAGCUUCAAGUCAGAUGAGGUCACCCAGGAGAUUUCAGAUGAAACAAGAGUUUUUCGCUUAUUAGGAUCAGACAGGGUUGUAGUUUUGGAAAGCAGACCAACAGAAAAUCCGACCGCACACAGCAAUCUCUACAUAUUGGCUGGACAUGAAAAUAGUUACUGAGCAACAGAAACUGAUCUCAACUGACAGGAAGAUGAAUUUAUAAAUUUAAUGGAAGCAAAAAUACUUUAAGGAAAUCCAGUAUAGACUGCACUAUGAUUUGCUUUAACUCUAUGGGUUAUAUCUCAAAUGAUCUGUACGGUAGGAUAGAACUCACUUUUCUGUAGCUGGAAACAGCUAGUC
RNA transcript from Octodon degus (degu), 2896 nucleotides. It is a transcript of the gene named mitogen-activated protein kinase kinase kinase kinase 5 pseudogene, with no coding region annotated. Lineage: Eukaryota; Metazoa; Chordata; Mammalia; Rodentia; Octodontidae. The record is from RefSeq and is a predicted model, not a curated record. The transcript has a single exon.